RNAcentral lists this ribosomal RNA (169 nucleotides) under uncultured bacterium. RNAcentral describes it as "partial 16S ribosomal RNA". It matches the Rfam family "Bacterial small subunit ribosomal RNA", at positions 338 to 524 of the family's 1533-position model. The record is from RNAcentral.
CCUACGGGAGGCAGCAGUGGGGAAUAUUGGACAAUGGGGGCAACCCUGAUCCAGCCAUGCCGCGUGAGUGAUGACGGCCUUAGGGUUGUAAAGCUCUUUUCUCCGGGACGAUAAUGACGGUACCGGAGGAAUAAGCCCCGGCUAACUUCGUGCCAGCAGCCGCGGUAAU